CCUACGGGAGGCAGCAGUGAGGAAUAUUGGUCAAUGGGCGGGAGCCUGAACCAGCCAAGCCGCGUGAGGGAAGAAGGUACAGCGUAUCGUAAACCUCUUUUGUCAGGGAACAAAGGCGGGGACUAGUCCCCGGAUGAGGGUACCUGAAGAAAAAGCAUCGGCUAACUCCGUGCCAGCAGCCGCGGUAAUACGGAGGAUGCGAGCGUUAUCCGGAUUUAUUGGGUUUAAAGGGUGCGCAGGCGGCCUGUUAAGUCAGCGGUAAAAGCCCGGGGCUCAACCCCGGAGAGCCGUUGAAACUGGCGGGCUUGAGUUGGAGAGAAGUACGCGGAAUGCGCGGUGUAGCGGUGAAAUGCAUAGAUAUCGCGCAGAACCCCGAUUGCGAAGGCAGCGUACCGGCUCCACACUGACGCUGAGGCACGAAAGCGUGGGUAUCGAACAGGAUUAGAUACCCUUGUAGUC
RNAcentral lists this ribosomal RNA (459 nucleotides) under uncultured bacterium. RNAcentral describes it as "partial 16S ribosomal RNA". It matches the Rfam family "Bacterial small subunit ribosomal RNA", at positions 338 to 795 of the family's 1533-position model. The record is from RNAcentral.